UUAGACUACUCUAUAACGCUUGAUGGCUUUAUUAAAUUUUGCCUUUAAUAAUUUUCAGCUGUCAAAUUAGAAAUUAGUCAGUUUCAGCUACUUGGGACAUCCCUGUAAAAAUGAUCGGCAGUUAUUGUGAGGUAAUAACUUAUUUGUGAUAUCUGACUAUAACUAUCCAUCAACAAAGUCCACUUGUUAAAUUUCCGAUAAUUGCGUUUUUUUUAUCUACUGUCAGUUUCUAAAUUCGAUAAUAAGUAUGUGUGUUCCUGUGACGCCGAAAAGAACCCAACAUUAUUUAUGUCGUGGCAAUAGAUUUAACCUUUUUUUAAUUUUCCGUCCGAGUCCGACUCUAGUUGUCCGUGGAUUUCUAAGGGCUGUCACUAGGUGGCUAAAUAUUUCAGUGUGUUUAGGGAUUGAGCUAUUCGACCGUAGUGCGUCCAAGUCCUGACUGCAGAGUCCUGUCUUUUCUUUCCAGGCGGUGUCCGAGAACGUUGGGCGAGGCAUUGCGAGUGAAUUUUCAAGUAACAUGUUCAUCAACGUGUACCAUUUCGUAAAAUGUCGUCUCUUGCUGUACGUUGCACGUUUCGAACAAGAUGAAGUAUUUCCACGCCAUUCGUCUUCGAUCAAGCUGAACCGAAAGUGAACUAAUACAAAGCAACAUAUCGAAGAUCUUGCCUUUCUCCACGUGGUCGCUGCCGUGUCAUGAAGAUGCUGCUGCUGCCUCUUCUAUAUUGCAGGACAAAUGUGAUACAAAGAAGAAAUCUGAAAACGUAAUCAAGUACUUCUCUUCUACUCUUGAUUUGUAAGCUUAACCAAGUAGGUGAGAAGUAUUGAUGUUGAAGACGAUUGAUAUUUUUUCAUACUUCCAUUGAAGACAGCAGUUGUGGAGUCAGUUUGUAAUUGAUCAGAACGGACAUUCCCAUUAACUUUAAAAAGCUGAGAUGCACUUGGCUUCUGCAGACAUGUACUUAGGCCAAUACUUGCUGGAAUUAUAAUCUGUCGGUUCAAUUUGAGUACUAUCCCAUGCAGAUGCUUAAGUUACAUAAAUAUCCCUUCAAUAGUGCAAUUGAUUAUAUAAUUUAAUUUUAAGAUAAGACAAUCCUUAUGAAGAAUUAAACAACAUGACCACGUCUAAGCUUCAUUGCUGUCCUGCAGGAAGUUUUGUUGCAGCCAACUGGCGAAAGAGAGUUAAAAUCAAGCUGAGCUGCAGCCCCUGGAAGCAGUCUACAUUGCUGGUUGCUGGUGUCAUCCUGAAGUGGGGAAAUGUUACCUGAAGUUUAAACAGCAACAAAGACAUAAUGAAAUGGUGACAACGUGAUGCAUCCUACGUAUGUUGGUAAUUUAGGGGCAUGUGUGGAGCAGAAGGAAGAGUGACAUUUUAUUUCUUUCUGGGACGUUGUUCGAGGACGAUUUAGUUAUUUCUUCGUGAUGAUUGCCUUGACGUUUUUCACCAUCUAAAUGGUAACAAACAUCCUUGCCUCAUGUAAUCAUGUAGCCUGCUGUACCUAUCCCAAAAAUGUCGUCCCUUGUUGCAGUUCUAUGAAUAGGUAUUUCCACGCAAUUCGUCCAAACUGAACCGAAAGUGAACCAUUUAAUGCAACAUGUCGAAUAUUUGCCUUUCUCCACGUGGUAGGUGCCGUGUCAUGAAGAUGCGUCUUUGAGAGGGUCACAACUGUAUUGUGAGACACAUGAUGUAAAGAGGGAAAAAUAUAAAGUUUAUUUUCAGGUAAAAGAACCCUUUCCUCAUCUGCUGAAGAAUUUGUUAACAUGACAAAGCCUGAGCCUCAUCAAUGUCAUGCAGGAGGUUUUUGCUGCAGCAGCCAGCUGUUGAAAGGGAGUUCAAACGAAGUUUAGUUGAAUCUCCUGGAAGCAGUCUACAUUGCUGGAUCCUGAAGUUAAACGCAACACAGACAUGCUGUGACAAUGUGAUGCAUCAUUCUUCUGCAUACUGUCAAUGAAGUUGGUGUUUUCCACAAAUUUAGAAGCAAUACUAGAAGAAUAACUGCAAGAAUACUUCUAGAAAUGGAUGGUGGAAAUUUGCCGUGGUUUUGCAGUCUGCCGCCUGUUCAAGCUGAUUGCUAUCCUGGAUUUUGCCUUAGUCCUCGAAAUAGCAGAUGUUGGUGGUAUCCAGAUGGUGCUGUGGCAGUGAAAUUCGGGUUGAAGAUUAAAAUACUUUUGUCUGAUAUGUUUAUCGAUCCUGUAGCGUAUGAUUGAAGUAACCUGAUAUUAAUUUGCUAUUCCAUGUCACAUGUUGCAGCCCAUGUUGGUGAAACCUCUUCGACAUUAAGGUUUUUAUCUGCUGUUGUUGGUUAUGAUAUUAUCUUUAUCCCCAUGAUAUUUAAAUUAUUCCUUACAAAUUGAUGGCCAAACUGCUUAAGUCAAACCUGUAAUCUUGUGUUGUUAUGAUAACUUUACUGUUUAUAUCCUUUCACAUUUCACUUGUAAUCUAUAAAAUUUAAAUAUCACCCAAAUAAAAAAAUACCAAUCAA
Molecule: long non-coding RNA, 2480 nt
Organism: Daphnia pulex (common water flea)
Lineage: Eukaryota; Metazoa; Arthropoda; Branchiopoda; Diplostraca; Daphniidae
Exons: 11
Source: RefSeq, a predicted model, not a curated record